Molecule: ribosomal RNA, 460 nt
Filed under: uncultured bacterium
Lineage: Bacteria
Description: partial 16S ribosomal RNA
Rfam family: Bacterial small subunit ribosomal RNA
Source: RNAcentral
CCUACGGGAGGCUGCAGUGAGGAAUAUUGGUCAAUGGACGAGAGUCUGAACCAGCCAAGUAGCGUGAAGGAUGACUGCCCUAUGGGUUGUAAACUUCUUUUAUAUGGGAAUAAAACGUUCCACGUGUGGGAUUUUGUAUGUACCAUGUGAAUAAGUAUCGGCUAACUCCGUGCCAGCAGCCGCGGUAAUACGGAGGAUCCGAGCGUUAUCCGGAUUUAUUGGGUUUAAAGGGAGCGUAGGUGGAUUUUUAAGUCAGGUGUGAAAGUUUGCGGCUCAACCGUAAAAUUGCAGUUGAAACUGGCAGUCUUGAGUACAGUAGAGGUGGGCGGAAUUCGUGGUGUAGCGGUGAAAUGCUUAGAUAUCACGAAGAACUCCGAUUGCGAAGGCAGUUCACUGGACUGCAACUGACACUGAGGCUCGAAAGUGUGGGUAUCAAACAGGAUUAGAUACCCUAGUAGUC